Molecule: ribosomal RNA, 334 nt
Filed under: uncultured Acidimicrobiaceae bacterium
Lineage: Bacteria; Bacillati; Actinomycetota; Acidimicrobiia; Acidimicrobiales; Acidimicrobiaceae
Description: bacterial SSU rRNA
Rfam family: Bacterial small subunit ribosomal RNA
Source: RNAcentral
UGGGCGUAAAGAGCUCGUAGGCGGCUUGUAAGUCGGAUGUGAAAUCUCCAGGCUCAACCUGGGGUCGCCAUCCGAUACUGCCAUGGCUUGAGUCCGGUAAGGGACCAUGGAAUUCCUGGUGUAGCGGUGAAAUGGCCAGAUAUCAGGAGGAACACCGUGGGCGAAGGCGGUGGCUGGGCCCGUACUGACCCUGAGGAGCGAAAGCGUGGGGAGCAAACAGGAUUAGAUACCCUGGUAUCCCACGCCGUAAACAUUGGGCACUAGGUGUGGGGCCUUUUCAACGGGUUCCGUGCCGUAUCUAACGCAUUAAGUGCCCCGCCUGGGGAGUACGGCC